AGUUGAGAAUGUCUAAUUGAUGGCUAGCUGUAUUUUGGUUUAAACCAGAAUACAGAAAAAUAUUUGGUGCCAAGUGUUAAAGGCAUGGGAUGGCUUAAAUACACUAAAUAUUUUUUCCUAGAUAUUCUGUACUGAAAUGGAGUAUGUCUUAUAUGCCAUAUAAUAUGAAAUGCUAUUUUAUACAAGCUAAAGACUUUUAUAUGAAGAUAGAAAGAUAUCAAAAAAGAAAAAAAUCAGGUGAUUUGAAGUUGUGUUUGUAAACAUUCUUUCGCCAUAUUACUUGUCACUUAACCCAGAGGAGUGUAAUCUGUGUAAUCUGUCUAUUAAUAAAUGCCUCUGCUUCAAAAUUUCAAAAAUUUAAUGGAGAGUGAUCAGAUAAAAAUGCAUUGAAAGGAACAGACUUGGUAAUGCUGGUGAGUAAUUUUUAAUGUUAUCUCUCAAAUCCAUCAUAAAUAAAUAUUCAAAAUUUAAAUGUUAUAACAUGUUUCAGAAUAGUAACAAAUAUUGCCAACUUUUGGCAUACAAAUCUACUCCCACGUAAACUUUUUGUUUUAUCAUUCAGUAGAUGGCAAAUCAUAAAGGUUUCUACUCAGUAUGUAUUUGGCCAUGAAUUAUUAUUAUUCACAGGAUACAAUAAUUUAAAAUAAAAUUAUAAGUAAGCAAUGCACAUUGAUAGUAAGUCAUAUACAGUGGCUGAUUGGUUGACGAACAGAUUGGUUAAUGAACAAAUCAGAUAACAAACACUUUUACGAAAGAUUUUUAUGUUUGGACAACGAACACCUCACAGAACAAAUACAAGAAGAAGCAAUGUAAAAUAAUGAAUACCGAUUGGUCUUCCCUUGUCUUCAGGCAACUAUUCGAAACUUUUCAGAGUGCAGGAGACGUCAACAUUGAUGCUCGACCUGGUAUAUACUUAUUGGAUAAUAUUCCUUUGAACUUUGAAACUUUCCCUUUUAUUCCAGCCUUUUAUUUUUCUGACAAACAAUUCUUUUAUAGUAUUUGCGAGAAUGUCGGGUGGGGACUUGUUAAGUUUUGCAUCAGUUUU
This 1045-nucleotide unclassified non-coding RNA is filed under the name Centruroides sculpturatus (bark scorpion). RNAcentral's name for it is "uncharacterized LOC111640007, transcript variant X7". The record is from RNAcentral. Lineage: Eukaryota; Metazoa; Arthropoda; Arachnida; Scorpiones; Buthidae.